Molecule: long non-coding RNA, 6361 nt
Filed under: Sinocyclocheilus grahami
Lineage: Eukaryota; Metazoa; Chordata; Actinopteri; Cypriniformes; Cyprinidae
Description: lncRNA (ENSSGRG00000039498.1)
Source: RNAcentral
UGUGUAAUAAGAACUAAAGCAUCUAUUACCACAACUAUGACCCUCAAACAAAAUACAUGCAUAGCUGUGACUUUGACAACUACAUCUCCAACAACUACUGAUUCAAUAUCAAUUGCAUCUACAACUGAGGCUUCUACAGAAAAUGCACCUUCAACAACAGCUACAGGUCAAACAGCAAUGUCAUCUUCAAUGACAACAGAAACGGGAGCUUCCACAACCACAGAUGUGAUCCCCACAACCACACUCAUAUCCUUACCAAGUACAACAACAGCACCAUCAACAGAAACUGAGGCUUCCACAACCAUGGAGGUAACCCCCACAACCGCUCUCAUAUCCUCACCAAGUACAACUGCACCUUCAACAGCAACAAAAGCUGCUUCAACAACAACAGCACCGUCAACAGAAACUGAAGUUUCCACAACCAUAGAUGGGAUCCCCACCUCCACCCUCAUAUCCUCAUCAAGUUCAACUGCUCCUUCAAUGGCAACAAAUGCUGCUUCAACAACUACAGCACCACCAACAGAAACGGAAGCUUCCACAACCAUAGAUGUGACCCGCACAACCACUCUCAUAUCCUCACCAAGUACAACAACAACAACAGCACCAUCAACAGAAACGGAGGCUUCCACAACCAUAGAUGUGAUCCCCAGAACCACACUUAUAUCCUCAGCAAGUACAACUGCACUUUCAACAGCAACAAAUGAUGCUUCAACAACAACAGCACCAUCAACAGAAACUGAGGCUUCCACAACCAUAGAUGUGAUCCCCAGAACCACACUUAUAUCCUCAGCAAGUACAACUGCACUUUCAACAGCAACAAAUGAUGCUUCAACAACAACAGCACCAUCAACAGAAACUGAGGCUUCCACAACCAUAGAUGUGAUCCCCAGAACCACACUUAUAUCCUCAGCAAGUACAACUGCACUUUCAACAGCAACAAAUGAUGCUUCAACAACAACAGCACCAUCAACAGAAACUGAGGCUUCCACAACCAUAGAUGUGAUCCCCAGAACCACACUUAUAUCCUCAGCAAGUACAACUGCACUUUCAACAGCAACAAAUGAUGCUUCAACAACAACAGCACCAUCAACAGAAACUGAAGCUUCCACAACCAUAGAUGUGAUGCCCACAAUCACCCUCAUAUCCUCAUCAAGUUCAACUGCACCUCCAACAGCAAGAAAUGCUGCUUCAACAACAACAGCACUAUCAACAGAAACCGAAGCUUCCAAAACCAUAGAUGUGAUCCCCACAACCACUCUCAUAUCCUCACCAAGUACAACAACAGCACCAUCAACAGAAACUGAAGUUUCCACAACCAUAGAUGGGAUCCCCACAAGCACCCUCAUANNNNNNNNNNNNAGAAACGGAAGCUUCCACAACCAUAGAUGUGAUCCCCACAACCACCCUCAUAUCUUCACCAAGUAAAACAACAACAGCACCAUCAACAGAAACUGAGGCUUCCACAACCAUAGAUGUGAUCCCCAGAACCACACUUAUAUCCUCAGCAAGUACAACUGCACUUUCAACAGUAACAAAUGAUGCUUCAACAACAACACCACCAUCAACAGUAACUGAAGCUUCCACAACCAUAGUUGUGAUCCCCACAACCACCCUCAUAUCCUCAACAAGUACAACUGCACCUUCAACAGCAAGAAAUGCUGCUUCAACAACAACAGCACCAUCAACAGAAACUGAAGCUUCCACAACCAUAGAUGUGAUCCCCACAACCACCCUCAUAUCCUCAACAAGUACAACUGCACCUUCAACAGCAAGAAAUGCUGCUUCAACAACAACAGCACCAUCAACAGAAACGGAAGCUUCCACAACCAUAGAUGGGAUCCCCACAACCACCCUCAUAUCCUCACCAAGUACAACUGUACCUUCAACGGCAACAAAUGCUGCUUCAACAACAACAGCACCACCAACAGAAACGGAAGCUUCCACAACCAUAGAUGUGACCCGCACAACCACUCUCAUAUCCUCACCAAGUACAACAGCAACAGCACCAUCAACAGAAACUGAGGCUUCCACAACCAUAGAUGUGAUCCCCACAUCCACACUUACAUCCUCACCAAGUACAACUGCACCUUCAACAGCAAGAAAUGCUGCUUCAACAACAACAGCACCAUCAACAGAAACUGAAGCUUCCACAUUCAUAAAUGUGAUCCCCACAACCACCCUCAUAUCCUCAUCAAGUACAACUGCAGCUUCAACAGCAAGAAAUGAAAUUUCAACAACAAAUGAAGCUUUAACCACCACAGCAGUGAAUCCCACAACUAUGCCUGUAUUCUCAGUACCUAUAGCAACAGAAAAUGCUGCUCCAACAGAGACACCAUCUUCAACAAUAAGAAUUGAAACUUACACAACCACAGCUGUGACCCCUACAACCACACUCAUAUUCUCACCAACUACAACUGCACCUUUAACAGCAACAAAUGCUGCUCCAACAACAAUAGCACAGUCUUCAACAACUGACGCUUCAACAACCACAGACUGGAACCCCACAACCAUGCCUGCAUUCUCUGCACCUCCAGCAACAGACAAUGUUGCUCUAACAACAACUCCACUGUCUUCGACAACUGAAGCUUCUACUACCACAACUGUGAACCCCACAACCACUCUUAUAUUUUCAGAAACUACAACAACAGCAAAAGCUGCCCCAACAACACCAUUGUCAACAAUAAAUGAAGCUUCAUCCACCACAGCAGUGAACCCGACAACCACAUCUGUAUCCUCAGUACCUAUGGUAACAGAAAAUGUUGCUCCAACAGACACACCAUCUUCAACAAUAGCAGCUGAAGUUUAUACAACCACAGCUGUGAGCCCCACAACCAUACUCAUAUCCUCACCGACUACAACUGCACCCUCAACAGCAACAAAUGCUGCCUCAACUGCAGCAGCACCAUUUUCAACAACUGAAGCUCCAACAACCGCAGCCAGGAAUCCCACCACCAUGCUUGUAUUCUCUGUACCUCCAGCAACAGAAAAUGCAGCUCCAACAACAACUCCACUGUCUUCGACAACUGAAGCUUCUGCUACCACAGCUGUGAGCCCCACAACAACUUUUAUAUUUUCAGAAACUACAACAACAGCAAAAGCUGCCACAACAACACCAUUGUCAACAACAAAUGAAGCUACAACCACCACAGCAGUGAACCCCACAACCACACCUGUAUUCUCAGUACCUAUGGCAACAGAAAAUGUUGCUCCAACAGACACACCAUCUUCAACAAUAGCAGCUGAAGUUUAUACAACCACAGCUGUGAGCCCCACAACCAUACUCAUAUCCUCACCAACUACAACUGCACCCUCAACAGCAACAAAUGCUGCCUCAACUGCAGCAGCACCAUUUUCAACAACUGAAGCUCCAACAACCGCAGCCAGGAAUCCCACCACCAUGCUUGUAUUCUCUGUACCUCCAGCAACAGAAAAUGCAGCUCCAACAACAACUCCACUGUCUUUGAUGACUGAAGCUUCCACAACCAUAGAUGUGACCCGCACAACCACACUUACAUCCUCACCAAGUACAACAGCAACAGCACCAUCAACAGAAACUGAGGCUUCCACAACCAUGGAUGUGAUCCCCACAACCACACUUACAUCCUCACCAAGUACAACUGCACCUUCAACAGCAAGAAAUGCUGCUUCAACAACAACAGCACCAUCAACAGAAACUGAAGCUUCCACAUUCAUAAAUGUGAUCCCCACAACCACCCUCAUAUCCUCAUCAAGUACAACUGCAGCUUCAACAGCAAGAAAUGAAAUUUCAACAACAAAUGAAGCUUUAACCACCACAGCAGUGAAUCCCACAACUAUGCCUGUAUUCUCAGUACCUAUAGCAACAGAAAAUGCUGCUCCAACAGGGACACCAUCUUCAACAAUAACAAUUGAACCUUACACAACCACAGCUGUGACCCCUACAACCACACUCAUAUUCUCACCAACUACAACUGCACCUUUAACAGCAACAAAUGCUGCUCCAACAACAAUAGCACAGUCUUCAACAACUGACGCUUCAACAACCACAGACUGGAACCCCACAACCAUGCCUGCAUUCUCUGCACCUACAGCAACAGAAAAUGCUGCUCCAACAACUCCCUUGUCUUUGACAACUAAAGCUUCUGCUACCCAAGCUGUGAACCCCACAACCACUCUUAUUUCUUCAGAAUCUACAACAACAGCUGCUCCAACAGCACCAUUGUCAACAACAAAUAAAGCUACAACCACCACAGCAGUGAAACCCACAACAACGCCUGUAUUCUCUCUACAUCCAGCAACAGAAAAUGUUGCUCCAACAACAACUCCACAGUCUUCGACAACUGAAGCUUCUACUACCAAAGCUGUGAACCCCACAACCACUCUUAUGUCCUCAACAACUGCACCUACAACAACAACAAAGGCUGCUACAGCACAAUCUUUGACCACUGAAGGUUAUAAAACCACAGCUGUGAGCCCCACAACCACAGAAAAUGCUGCUCCAACAAAGACACCAUCUUCAGCAAUAACAACUGAAGCUUAUACAACCACAGAUGGGAACCCCACCACCAUGCCUGUAUUCUCUGCACCUCCAGCAACAGAAAAUGCUGCUCCAACAACUCCAUUGUCUUUGACAACUAAAGCUUCUGCUACCCAAGCUGUGAACCCCACAACCACUCUUAUUUCUUCAGAAUCUACAACAACAGCUGCUCCAACAGCACCAUUGUCAACAACAAAUAAAGCUACAACCACCACAGCAGUAAACCCCACAACAACGCCUGUAUUCUCAGUACCUACAGCAACAGAAAAUGCUGCUCCAACAGAGACACCAUCGUCAACAAUUAAAAGUGAAGCUUAUACAACCACAGCUGUGACCCCAACAACCACACUCAUAUCUUCACCAACUGCAACUGCACAAUCUUCAACAACUGAAGCGUCAACAACCGCAGCCAGAAACCCCACAACCAUGCCUGUAUUCUCUCUACAUCCAGCAACAGAAAAUGUUGCUCCAACAACAACUCCACAGUCUUCGACAACUGAAGCUUCUACUACCAAAGCUGUGAACCCCACAACCACUCUUAUAUCCUCAACAACUGCACCUACAACAACAACAAAGGCUGCUACAGCACAAUCUUUGACCACUGAAGGUUAUAAAACCACAGCUGUGAGUCCCACAACCACAGAAAAUGCUGCUCCAACAAAGACACCAUCUUCAGCAAUAACAACUGAAGCUUAUACAACCACAGCUGGGAACCCCACCACCAUGCCUGUAUUCUCUGCACCUCCAGCAACAGAAAAUGCUGCUCCAACAACUCCAUUGUCUUUGACAACUAAAGCUUCUGCUACCCAAGCUGUGAACCCCACAACCACUCUUAUUUCUUCAGAAUCUACAACAACAGCUGCUCCAACAGCACAAUUGUCAACAACAAAUAAAGCUACAACCACCACAGCAGUGAACCCCACAACAACGCCUGUAUUCUCAGUACCUACAGCAACAGAAAAUGCUGCUCCAACAGAGACGCCAUCGUCAACAAUUAAAAGUGAAGCUUAUACAACCACAGCUGUGACCCCAACAACCACACUCAUAUCUUCACCAACUGCAACUGCACAAUCUUCAACAACUGAAGCUUCAACAACCGCAGCCAGAAACCCCACCACCAUGCCUGUAUUCUCUGCACCUUCAGCAACAGAAAAUGCUGCUCCAACAACUCCAUUGUCUUUGACAACUAAAGCUUCUGCUACCCAAGCUGUGAACCCCACAACCACUCAGAUAUCAACAGAAACUACAAUAACAGCAAAAGCUGCUCCAACAACACCAUUGUCAACAACAAAUGAAACUUUAACAACCAAAGCAAUAAACCCCACAACCAUGCCUGUGUUCCCAGCACCUACAAAUGCACCUCCAGCAACAGAAAAUGUGGCUCUAGCAACAACAGCACAGCCUUCAACAAAUGAAGCUUCUACAACCACAGUUGUGAAUCCUACAACAAUGCCUGUAUUUCCAGAACCUCUAACAAAUGCUGCACCACCAACAACAGCAGUAACUCCAACAACUGCUGCAGCAACAACAUUUAUCACACCCACAACCAUGCCAAUGUUAUCAGAAUUUACGAAAUCAUUUCUAACAACCUCACCUUUGCUAAAUGCAACAACAAAUGCAGUGACUCUGACUAGUCUUUCAGAAACACAAAAUCCUGCUCCAACUGCAUUUGUAUCUCAAAGCACAAAAAUAACUGUGUCUUUAGCAACCACUGAAACUACUGCACCAACCAUUAUAUUUGUAACUCAAGAAACCACAAUGCCAUUGUCAACGUCAGCUACUGGUGCCUCGCAAAUUACAAGUGUGACUCCAAUGACUACAUCUGGAGUUAAAACAAGUAUUCCU